Molecule: transfer RNA, 63 nt
Filed under: Rattus norvegicus (Norway rat)
Lineage: Eukaryota; Metazoa; Chordata; Mammalia; Rodentia; Muridae
Rfam family: tRNA
About the family: Transfer RNA (tRNA) molecules are approximately 80 nucleotides in length. Their secondary structure includes four short double-helical elements and three loops (D, anti-codon, and T loops).
Source: Rfam by way of RNAcentral
GGGGAUUUAGCUCAGCGGUAGAGCGCUUGCCUAGGAAGCGCAAGGCCCUGGAUUCAGUCCCCA